This is a regulatory RNA element of Neotoma lepida (desert woodrat), 323 nucleotides long. It matches the Rfam family "Mason-Pfizer monkey virus packaging signal". Rfam says of the family: The packaging signal is located in the 5' UTR and is required for specific RNA encapsidation. Lineage: Eukaryota; Metazoa; Chordata; Mammalia; Rodentia; Cricetidae. The record is from Rfam.
UGGCACCCAAUGUUGAGGCUUGAGAACAUGAAGGAUUGGUGAAUGUCUCACACCAAAGCAGGCCUGCAUAUCAGUUGGACCACCAUGGAGAACACUCCAUGAGUGAAAGUCCAGUCAAGUGAUCACCACAGGGAUGCCUGACCGUGAGACAGAUCCAGAGAGUUAAUUUGUGCCAGUGCAAGGUAAGUUUACCAUAGGACAAGCAUUUAGUAAGCAGGAUUUAUUUAUUUCAGGACUUAANUAGUCUCUCAAGANACNAGGAACAAGGGUNAAAAAGAAAGAUUUNAAAAAGUUUCUUGAUUAUAUUGGGGACCUUUGUCCCU